This 318-nucleotide ribosomal RNA is filed under the name uncultured bacterium. Its description in RNAcentral is "bacterial SSU rRNA". It matches the Rfam family "Bacterial small subunit ribosomal RNA", at positions 43 to 389 of the family's 1533-position model. The record is from RNAcentral.
UCAGGCCUAACACAUGCAAGUCGAACGAAGCCUUCGGGCUUAGUGGCGCACGGGUGCGUAACGCGUGGGAAUCUGCCCUUGGGUACGGAAUAACAGUGAGAAAUUACUGCUAAUACCGUAUGAUGUCUUCGGACCAAAGAUUUAUCGCCCAGGGAUGAGCCCGCGUAGGAUUAGCUAGUUGGUGAGGUAAAGGCUCACCAAGGCGACGAUCCUUAGCUGGUCUGAGAGGAUGAUCAGCCACACUGGGACUGAGACACGGCCCAGACUCCUACGGGAGGCAGCAGUGGGGAAUAUUAAGAAUGGGCGAAAGCCUGAUCC